AGCCGCUGGCCUCUGCUUUAGAGCGCUUUUGCUUUCCGAAUACAGCCUUCAUAAGGGCAAGAGCUUCCACCCAUUUUGUUCACUGCUGCGGUCCUGAUGCCUGGGACAGCCCUGCUGAGAGAUGAGGAAAGAUCACUCCUGGCACCUGACCUCUGAGAGCUGGUGCGCUGGGAAGCAGAUGUGGAGAAGACGGUUUGUGUGAAAUGAGUGUCCUGAGAAGUGACCCUGGUGUCUUCGCCUGUAAAGGAAGAGCAGACAUAACCCGAGGAGAAGCUGAUUGCGGUGGUGGCUGCAGCAAGGCCUCAGUCCAUCCCACUGGGGUCUGAGUGGGAGGGCCUUGCAGACUCGUCCUGCCACCAGGGAGGCCCUGGCCCUCUCUCCUCCCUUCAUGGACCAGUCAUGGGGUGCUGUGAACUUGGGCAGGCGGCUCCCUUCACCCAGGCCAGUUCCCGGCCAGGGGCUCAGCAGAGAGCCUGGAGCCACCAACGUUCCCAGCAGCUGAGGGAUGCUGAGGGGGACCUGGGCACCACUGCGGCCACCGCUGUCCCCUUUAAAUGCCUCUUGACCUAUCUGCCCCUUCUUGAGCAUUGCCUCUCCCCAGGCUCCAUUCUCAGGCCUUUUCUUCGUUGACUCCCAUUUCUUUGGGGGGAGCAGGGAGCAUGACCCGUGCUCCCCGGCCUUAACCAGCCCUGAGCCUGGGCCCCAGGGUUUCCUGUCUCUCCAGCAUCGCCAGUUUACGCUUCUCUUUGCCCCGCCCCUUGGGACGGCCCACCUCUUGCAUCCUUUGAUCCACCCCCACCCCCCCCACUGCUCCUACACGCGGCCCUCACUGCCUCCCUCCCGGGCUUGCUGUCCACUCAGGCCCCCGGCUCCCGGCAUGGGCGUCACAGCCCUUCGGGAGUGGAAGGGGUCACUUUACAUGCAUGUUUCCUCCCUCCUGUCUCUGUUUCCAGUGUUGCUCUCUCCUGCGUCCCCCAAAGCCAGCCCCUCCGCCUCGCCACUGCUGCUGGGGACACUUCCUCAAUCACAGAUUGUUAUUCACAUAGGAACAGUUGCUGGACGCUUGCCACGGCCUGCCCACAUCACAUUCUGGGCCAGUCAUGGUGAAUCCUGGCCUCACUCAGUGGGUUAGGGAUCCCAGCUUGCCGUUGCUGUGGUGCAGGCCGGCAGCUGCAGCUCCAAUUCAACCUCCAACCUGGGAACUUCCAUAUGCUGCGGGUGCAGACCUAAAAAGAAAAAGAAAACAAAAGCAAGAAAAAGUCUCUGCUUUCAGUGGCGUUUACAUUUUAGUAGGAGACACAGGAAACUAAAGAAAUGACUGAAUGAGCUGAUGGGUAAAUCAGUAUUAGAGAGUGAUAAAUGCUGUGCCAAGAAUUAGAAUAAGGAGUUCCCGUCGUGGCUCAGCAGAAAUGAAUCUGACUAGUAUCCAUGAGGAUGUGGGUUCGAUCCCUGGGCCCGCUCAGCAGGUUAAGGAUCCAGGGUUGCUGUGAGCUGUGGUGUAGGUCGAAGAUGCGGCUCCGAUCUGGCGUUGCUGUGGCUGUGGUGUAGGCUGGCAGCUACAGCUUAGAUUCCACCACUAGCCUGGGAACCUCCAUAUGCCCUGGGUAUGGCCCUAAAAAGACAAAAGUAAAAAACAAAACCCCCAAGAUUUAGAAUACUGUGGCCGAGUGUGGCAGGAUCAGCAAAGGUCUCACGUUGUCUUCUGGGCAGGGGGCAGACUCUAGUGUGGCACAAAAGGCUCUGGUGGAGACAAGCUCUGGCCCCCUGGCGAGGACUGACAGCUUCCUCCUGCCCCUUGCACUCGGUCAGUUGGGGGUAACCCUUCCUGGAGGGCCAAGGGGCCACCUGGGUUCCCCUUCUCCCCCGCCUUCCUUCCCUUAUCCUCCCAGUCCCCCCUGUGCUGGAACAAUGUCCCUUAUGGGUGACAGCGACAAAAGCCCAGCUGGCCUCAGCAGGUUUAUUCUUAUCAGUGACUAGACCCAGACAAUUAACAAUCCCUUUCAACGGCCCUCUUGGCCAUGAUUUUUGGGAAAUGCUGACUAGGACAUGACUUGGGGAAGAGAGAUUAUUUUAAAAAAAGAAAGAAAAGAAAACAGGUGCAGUGCUCUUUCCUACUGAGCCUGUCACCGGGGUUAGAUUUGCAGCCUCCACCCUUAACCGUUGUCCCCUGCCUGCCCAGGAGCCGCCCCUCCCCCAAUUCCACCUCCCUGAGGUUUUGGAAGGAAAACUAAACAAUGGCUAAAUGAAACCAAGCCCGUUAUCAACGGGUUCCACGUCACGGCUGAUAAUUCCUCGAAAAUCCCGGUUCUCAUCAAGAAUCUCCGACUUCAUUUCCCUGCACUUGUCGCCGGUGGGCGCAGAUGAAAGUGGGAGAGAAACGCAAGGCCCAGGGCGCCUUGCUUUGGCAGCCAGCCCCUCGGCCUUUGCUUAUGUACCGGGCACCUGAUCAUCAAGCCAAAGACACGGGUGGCUGGUUUCCUAAACGCCCCAGAUGCACCCGGAGCUCCUCCCCUCCGGGGGCCGCCUCUUUGCCCCUUUAUCUGGGCACCGCCUUCCUGCACCCACCCACCACCUCCUUCGCAGACUGGCCGCGCCUUCGCUUGGCUCCCCCUAGCGGCGGGCGCCGUCCAUCACCCGUGGGAACACGGGUCCCGCACCUCCCGCGCCGGCUCCAAGGCAGACGGAAAAGACAUUAAAACCGGAGAAAGCCGAGCAUCGAUCCCUCAGCGGAGAUCCAGCUUUUAUUUUCACCACAACCGACGGUCCCGUCAGACCUUGUGUGAGGUUUUUUUUUUUCUUUCCUGUCUGAUUACACACAAAAAAAUCACAACCAUGUAAACCAAAAUUUGUAACUUAUAUAAUCAAGACUUUUAGGUGUGAUUCUUUAUUACACGUAAAAAUAAAAUCG
Molecule: long non-coding RNA, 2908 nt
Filed under: Sus scrofa (pig)
Lineage: Eukaryota; Metazoa; Chordata; Mammalia; Artiodactyla; Suidae
Description: lncRNA (ENSSSCG00045035793.1)
Source: RNAcentral